Molecule: long non-coding RNA, 5179 nt
Filed under: Equus asinus (donkey)
Lineage: Eukaryota; Metazoa; Chordata; Mammalia; Perissodactyla; Equidae
Description: lncRNA (ENSEASG00005028657.1)
Source: RNAcentral
AUUUCAGCUCCAGUAUUAUUUCCAUCGGUUCCCUCUUAUAAUUUCUCUUUGUUGAUAUCGCCUGUUUCUUUAUACAUGAUUGUUCUCUGGCUUCCUUUAGUUCUCUGCCCACGGUUUCCUUUAGCUGUUCAAGCAUAUUUAAGACAGUUCAUUUAAAGGCUUUGCCAUAGCAAGUCCAACGUCUGGGGUUCCUCAGGGAUGGUUUCUGUCAAUUUCUUUUUCCUGUGAAUGAGUCAUACUUUUCUUUUUCUUUGUAUGCCUUGUAAGGUUUGUUCUUAUUGCUUGUUAAGGGCUGCAGUCAUCCAUUUGUUUAGUGACAUUUCCAAACUCUUGUUGCAGACUGUAUUCCUUAUCAUGUGCAGUCACUGAGGUCUCUGUUCCAAUAUCUCAGUGGUCAGCCACUGACCUGACACACAUUUCCUUAAAUACUUGGAGCCAGAAAAACCCCAAAACUAGAAGCAACCUCUCCUGGUCUUUGCAGAUUGGGUCUAAACUGGGAACUCCUGCCGCUCUUAGCCAGGCCACCUAUAAGUCUGCCUUAGUCUUUAUUUCCUGCCUGCAUGGAGCACAGAGAUUAGCCAAAGAUGCAAGCCUAGGGUCCUCUCUGGUCUUUUCUGAGCACAUGUCCAGCCCUGGACACGUGUUGCAGUCUGGAUCCCCUGGUCUAUGAAGUAGCCCUUCAAGCCCCUAUUCCCCCAGUAUCUUCUUCCUCAGCCUCUUCCUUCCCAGGCUUUUUGGUCUGUCUGCUGUUCAUCCCUUCUGCCAUCCCCUACCCCACACAGCUGUGGGUGGUAUAUGUCUUUAAAUGCUUUCCACAGACACCACCUGGGAGGCUGCUGCAGUCUGAGAGGGCCAAAGCAAAGCUCAGCCUCUGCACCAGUCCUUCGGGGAACUGCCAGCCAAGUCAACAUGCACAACUGUUACUGAACCAAAGUGGGUUUGCUGCUUGGUGAGUUGAAAUCAAAGCCUGCACCAGAAGUAGUGGUCAUGCAAAAUAAGAUUUAUUUGCAGCAAAUAAAGACAACAGGAGGAAUCACUUCCAAAGUUGUGGCCCCUGAGCAAGGGAAAACAGGCCUCGGUGGGGUUCUGUCCUCACUGUGCACACUCUCCUUGGGGAACCCAGCCACGCCCAGAGCUGCCACCUCUCUGUUGAUGAAGCCCAGUGGUGAAUCUCCAACUUAGUCCUCUCUCCAGGGCCCCAGACAUGUGGACAACUGCCCAUGGGCUGCUCCACUCAGAAAUCCCACAGACCGCUCUAGGUGAAGCCGUGUAAGUAACUUCUGGUUAACAAGAUGGAAGAACGGCACGUCCUUACUCCCAUUCUUCUUGGUAUCUAGAUUAUGGAGGUGCUAGCCAGAGCCCAAGCGGCCAUCUUGGACCAUGAUGACUAUGAGGAUGGAGAAGCAGCAAAAUGGAAGGCGCUCUGUCUCCGAUGAUUGUGGGGCCACCAGCUUAGAAGUGCUCACCUCCUUACUUUGCCUCCGGGAGGGAAAACCAGCUUUUAUCUUGUUUAGCCCAUUGUUAUUUUGCGAUUCCUUCACAUGCUGCUAAACCAAAGCUUCCUUAAUACACAGAUCUUUUCAGCCCCGUUCUCCAUACACCAUGUGUUCCACCGGCCGUGCUAAACCACCUGCAGCCAUCUCUGCUUCCGUUCCUUUGCACGGCAUUUCUGCGAGGUGUUAUAAGGGUCUGUUCGCUUGUCUUCCUCACUGCCCGUGAACAUCUCUGCAGCAGAGGACCGUACCUUUCUUGGAUUCCUGCUUUGUGAUCAACUUCUUUAAGGCAAGAAAGGGAGGGAGAGGGAAUGGACAUUUACUGGGUCCCACUUAUGUGGGCUUUACAUUUUAUUUGCCUUUUAAUUGUUGGAGCAAGUCUGUAAGGGGCGCGGCAUUAUUGCUGCUCUUUCACAGACGAGGAAAGGGAGGUUCAGAAAGGCCAAGCUGUUUCCCAAGUGUGCGUGGAUAACGAGCGGCAGAACUAAAUGUGGAACUCCAGUCUGUCUGACCUGAUGCAGCAGCUCUCUCCACCCCACCUAGAAGGUGCCGUGUCAGUGCAUGGGCUGGGCUGUGGCUGAGUGACCUUUGAUGAAUUAAUUCCCCUCCUGGUUCUCCUUUGAGGUCGUCACUCUCAGCUGCUUUUCACAUGCUGGUUGCUAAGGGGUGAGUAAGCGCCUGCCUGAACCUGACCUCAGUUGGGUAAGGGAUGGCCUCUGCUUCGGGUUUUAGUGUUCAGAGGAUUGUUUUUUCUUUUAACACAGUUUAGAAACCAAAGACUGCCUGGGAGACAGUGUGAGGCAGUGGAAACCACAUGAACUUUAGAACCAGAUGCCCCUGGGUUUGAAAUCCACCUCUUCCACUUAUUUGCUGCAUGACCCCGGGGCAAUAACUUAACCUCAGUGGGCCUCGGUUUUCUCAUUUGGGAAGGAAUAUAAUGAUCUCCCUCCGAGGAACAUGGAGAAAAUUAAAAGAGAAAUAGGAGAAAAGUGACAGGAGCCCAGCUGACGCUCAAUGAAUGCUGGUUGUCUUCCCGCCCCUUCCUCUCUCCUCUAUUUUACCUCGAGUUUUGAUUUGUCUUGGUUGACAUGGAAAUGACAGACUGUAUUACCGUUCACCAAUAUUCUGCCCCCUCACUUUCGGGGCAUCAUACAUUUCUUUUGAGCAUGUGACUGGCCAUGUGACUUUGGCCAAUGUCGACAGAAGUGCUUCACGGCAGCUCUGAGAUCCUGGGCACGCUUCACUCCACUCUCGUGUCCCUUUUGCAGGAGACCAGCUGUGUUCCAGAUGGAGGCUGCUCCACUAGGCUGGUCCUCAGCUACCACGUGAAGGACAUGUCCCCUGAGCAAUAAAUAAACCUUCCUUGACUUCAGCCCUUGAGACUGGGAGUCAUUUGUUACUGCCGCCUAGCCUAGCCUGAUCUGAUUCAUCUGUUUGACAUUUAGCAUCUUAUAGUUCCAUGCAAUAUUUUUCUUUUUAAGCUUUUCUAAAAGAUUUAUUUACUGCAUUAAUGUUUUUGGUGGUGGGUACUUCAAAAACAGUCAUUUUUCUUGUUAUAAAGUUUGUAUACUUUGUAAGAAAUUUAGAAAAUACAGAAAAGUAAAUAGAAGAAAAGAAAAAUCACCCACUAACAUUUUCCUUCUUCUGUCUUAUAUCUUUUUUUCCACUAUUUCUUUUGGAAAUUUUCUUAAGUGAGAGUUUGGUAGGAAUUUUUGAAGUUGGAAGGCCUUGCUUAUUGUGAAAAGGAGAUGAACAGAAGGAUAGAUGAACCCUAACAAUGUCAGGCCUUCUCCAUGGGCACCACGGAGUGAGCCUGGAGCCGUUUCUUUGCCACGGGCCAUGCAGAGCCACGUUCCAUGGCAUUCCAUGUCCAAAUAAUUUCACCAAUAGGCUUCUAGGACAGAGCCGGUCUGCCUGGCAUGAAACCCAGCCGUGGGCCGGGUGCCGGCAACAGAUCUGCAGGCAUUGCCGGUCAUGAAUGACACUGUGACACUGUGGACAGAAGGGCUGCUUGAAGGACACCCUGGAGCAGCUCUUACCUCGACAGGGCUUCGCCAGUACGUCUAGGAAUUGCCAGCAAUUGCCUGAAAGAGUCCGUUCAAUUCACCCAACAACAUGACGUUGCCGGCGUUUCUCUGCGCCGUAGCUGGGAUGGUCUCCUUGCCCCUUGGAGGAGGUCUGCAUUAUUUUAAGGAGCUCUUAGGUUGUCUGGUCUCACCUUUUCAAUAAUUUAAGCCAGCAAUUCUCAACUGUUUGGUUUCACUGUUCCUUUAAGCUAUUCAAACUGAGGACUCCAAAAAGCUUUUAUGUGGGUUACAUCUACCAAUAUUUACUGUAUUAGAAAUCAAAACCGAGAAAUUUUUUAAAAUAAUAAUUCAUUUAAAAGUAAUAACAACCAAUGACAUGUUAACAUAACAUUUUUAUGAAAAAGAACUAUUUUGCAAAAAAAAUUUAGUGAGAAAAGUGGCCUCGUUUUACAUUUGUGGGAGGCAGAAUAACGGCCCCCAAAGAUAUCCCCUGGAACCUGUGAAUAUGUUACUUUAAAGGGCAAAGGGGACUUUAAAGAUUGGGGUUGAGGACCUUGAGGUAGGGAGGUGGCCCGGGUUAUCCAGGCGGGCUCAAUCACGUGACUCCUUGAAGUGGAGAACUUCCCCAGCUGCGGUUGGAAGGAGGCAAGACUGCUAAAGAAGAGUCAGAGGGAGACGCGACGUCGCUGGCUUUGAUGAUGGAGGAAGGGGACCACGAGCCAAGGAAUGAGCGUGGCCUCCAGAAGCUGUCCAAGGCAAGGACACAGAUUCUUCACUAGCACCUCGAAAAAGGAGCAGAGUUUUGUGACACCUCGAUGUCAGCCCAAGGAGACCUGUGUUGGCUUCUGACGUCAGACCUCUAAGAUAAUAAGUGUGUGUUAGUUGUUAAGCCACUAAGUUUGUGGAAUAUUUUUAUAGCAGCUGUAGAGAACAAAUAGAACGUUUUUGCAAAUCUCUUUAAUAUCCAGCUUAAUAGAAGCAAGCUGGAUUCUCACGUGCUUCUGCAUUCAAUCUGUUGUGUUAUAAUGCUUUGGUUGAAGUACAUGAAGAAAAUCUGGCCUUUACAUAGAUUUAAAGUUGGAAACAUAAGAGUAUUUUAAUAGCCUUUCCAGAUCAUUGUGCACCAAAUUUAACUAUAAUUUCUCAGAGUUUAGUUGCAGGGUGGAACUGGAAAUCAUAUCGAUGAACUUCUCCUGUCUGUUAGGUUAAAACCCACCUAUCUAUCUUGCACUUUGAAUGACUCUUUUACCCAUGCAUGAUUUUAUAACAUCAUGUAUUGAUUAUUUAGAAAAACCUCGGUUCACUGAAUUAUGCAGAUCUUCCAAAUGUUGACACAUUUCGUUAUACAAUGUAAAACAGCAGAUUUGUUAAUAUCACCACCAAUCUCAUCUGAAAGAUCUUCAAGUAUUAUAAAGAUAUCAAACUCACCAUGGCAGACACAAGUUUUCUGGAAUUCUCAUUUUCACUUGAAAGCUCAAAGUUUCUCAUUAGCAACAAAUACCAUCAGUUGUUUCCCUUAAAACGACAGGCUCGCUUUGUUCAUUUUCAAGAAAAUGCCUACCAAAUACACAAGGCUCAGUAACCUGAGGUUGUCUGUCAUACUUUCAAGCAAAAAUGUUCUACAGAAAAAGCAGCUGGUCCAGCUUACACAUAAGCGUA